This 1045-nucleotide unclassified non-coding RNA is filed under the name Hevea brasiliensis (rubber tree). The record is from RNAcentral. Lineage: Eukaryota; Viridiplantae; Streptophyta; Magnoliopsida; Malpighiales; Euphorbiaceae.
AUGAGGAAGAUGAAAAAUGAGUUUAUGGUGAAUUGGGAUGGCCUACGUACCAAAGAUACGGAAAGAGUUCUAGUGCUUGCAGCAACAAAUAGGCCCUUUGACCUUGAUGAGGCUGUCAUUAGAAGGCUCCCACGAAGAUUGAUGGUAAAUCUACCUGAUGCUCCAAAUAGAGCAAAGAUAAUGAGAGUUAUUUUGGCACAGGAAGAUUUGUCCCCUGAUGUUGAUUUUGAUGCAAUUGCAAGUAUGACGGAUGGAUAUUCUGGAAGUGACCUCAAGAACCUAUGUGUAACUGCAGCACAUCGCCCAAUAAAAGAGAUACUAGAAAAGGAAAAGAAGGAACGAUCUGCAGCUCUAGCAGAAGGUAAACCUGCUCCAGCUUUAAGGGGCAGUGCUGAUAUACGGCCUCUUAACAUGGACGAUUUCAAAUAUGCUCAUGAACGGGUAUGUGCAAGUGUUUCAUCCGAGUCUGUUAACAUGACUGAAUUGUUACAAUGGAAUGAACUUUAUGGUGAAGGCGGCUCUAGAAGAAAGAAGGCGCUUAGCUAUUUUAUGUAAAUUUUCCUUUGUACAAAGCUUCUUAUUUUCUGUUGAUUCUCUUCUGUUCUCCUAAAGCCUGUGCCCAACUAAUUGCUGCUCUCACCCUGGCUUGCUGGGGAGCCAUUUUGUCUGUAAGAUGAGGUGUAGGUUUUCUAAAUUAUAUUUUCUUAUCCCAGAGUUUGGGGAUGGUUGGUAUAAAUGGCACAAAAGCUAUUGUUAUGUUCUUUUUCCCUUUCCUGCUGCCAUGAAACACAUUAUCUCCUUUUGAAUUUGAAGUUAUUAACAUCUGCAAUAGAAAAGAGAAGAGAAAAACCGAACACCCUGUGAAUAUAUUAUUGUUUUUCACAGUUACUCUUUAUGGUGUUUUGUGAUGAUGAAACAAUAAGCUUAGCAGUAGGACUUUCUUCUGUGAAUGUGACAAGCCUGUUACUGUAGUUUGCCCUGAAGAGGGAAGAAUUGAAAAAUGUAAUAUGAUUAACUAAUGCCUUUGGUGAUGUUGUUCUUCUAU